Molecule: ribosomal RNA, 506 nt
Filed under: uncultured bacterium
Lineage: Bacteria
Description: partial 16S ribosomal RNA
Rfam family: Bacterial small subunit ribosomal RNA
Source: RNAcentral
AGUGAACGCUGGCGGUAGGCCUAACACAUGCAAGUCGAACGGCAGCACAGGAGAGCUUGCUCUCUGGGUGGCGAGUGGCGGACGGGUGAGGAAUACAUCGGAAUCUACUUUUUCGUGGGGGAUAACGUAGGGAAACUUACGCUAAUACCGCAUACGACCUACGGGUGAAAGCAGGGGACCUUCGGGCCUUGCGCGAUUGAAUGAGCCGAUGUCGGAUUAGCUAGUUGGCGGGGUAAAGGCCCACCAAGGCGACGACCUGUAGCUGGUCUGAGAGGAUGAUCAGCCACACUGGAACUGAGACACGGUCCAGACUCCUACGGGAGGCAGCAGUGGGGAAUAUUGGACAAUGGGCGCAAGCCUGAUCCAGCCAUACCGCGUGGGUGAAGAAGGCCUUCGGGUUGUAAAGCCCUUUUGUUGGGAAAGAAAUCCAGCUGGCUAAUACCCGGUUGGGAUGACGGUACCCAAAGAAUAAGCACCGGCUAACUUCGUGCCAGCCGCCGCGGUAA